This 471-nucleotide ribosomal RNA is filed under the name uncultured organism. Its description in RNAcentral is "partial 16S ribosomal RNA". It matches the Rfam family "Bacterial small subunit ribosomal RNA", at positions 334 to 797 of the family's 1533-position model. The record is from RNAcentral.
CACUCCUGCGGGAGGCAGCAGUGGGGAAUUUUGGACAAUGGGCGAAAGCCUGAUCCAGCAAUGCCGCGUGAGUGAAGAAGGCCUUCGGGUUGUAAAGCUCUUUUGUCAGGGAAGAAACGGUGAGAGCUAAUAUCUUUUGCUAAUGACGGUACCUGAAGAAUAAGCACCGGCUAACUACGUGCCAGCAGCCGCGGUAAUACGUAGGGUGCAAGCGUUAAUCGGAAUUACUGGGCGUAAAGCGUGCGCAGGCGGUUUUGUAAGUCUGAUGUGAAAUCCCCGGGCUCAACCUGGGAAUUGCAUUGGAGACUGCAAGGCUAGAAUCUGGCAGAGGGGGGUAGAAUUCCACGUGUAGCAGUGAAAUGCGUAGAUAUGUGGAGGAACACCGAUGGCGAAGGCAGCCCCCUGGGUCAAGAUUGACGCUCAUGCACGAAAGCGUGGGGAGCAAACAGGAUUAGAUACCCGGGUAGUCCC